AUUGAACGCUGUGCGGCAGGCCUAACACAUGCAAGUCGAGCGGUAGCACAGAGAGCUUGCUCUCGGGUGACGAGCGGCGGACGGGUGAGUAAUGUCUGGGAAACUGCCUGAUGGAGGGGGAUAACUACUGGAAACGGUAGCUAAUACCGCAUAAUGUCGCAAGACCAAAGUGGGGGACCUUCGGGCCUCAUGCCAUCAGAUGUGCCCAGAUGGGAUUAGCUAGUAGGUGGGGUAACGGCUCACCUAGGCGACGAUCCCUAGCUGGUCUGAGAGGAUGACCAGCCACACUGGAACUGAGACACGGUCCAGACUCCUACGGGAGGCAGCAGUGGGGAAUAUUGCACAAUGGGCGCAAGCCUGAUGCAGCCAUGCCGCGUGUGUGAAGAAGGCCUUCGGGUUGUAAAGCACUUUCAGCGGGGAGGAAGGCGGUGAGGUUAAUAACCUCAUCGAUUGACGUUACCCGCAGAAGAAGCACCGGCUAACUCCGUGCCAGCAGCCGCGGUAAUACGGAGGGUGCAAGCGUUAAUCGGAAUUACUGGGCGUAAAGCGCACGCAGGCGGUCUGUCAAGUCGGAUGUGAAAUCCCCGGGCUCAACCUGGGAACUGCAUUCGAAACUGGCAGGCUAGAGUCUUGUAGAGGGGGGUAGAAUUCCAGGUGUAGCGGUGAAAUGCGUAGAGAUCUGGAGGAAUACCGGUGGCGAAGGCGGCCCCCUGGACAAAGACUGACGCUCAGGUGCGAAAGCGUGGGGAGCAAACAGGAUUAGAUACCCUGGUAGUCCACGCCGUAAACGAUGUCGAUUUGGAGGUUGUGCCCUUGAGGCGUGGCUUCCGGAGCUAACGCGUUAAAUCGACCGCCUGGGGAGUACGGCCGCAAGGUUAAAACUCAAAUGAAUUGACGGGGGCCCGCACAAGCGGUGGAGCAUGUGGUUUAAUUCGAUGCAACGCGAAGAACCUUACCUGGUCUUGACAUCCACAGAACUUUCCAGAGAUGGAUUGGUGCCUUCGGGAACUGUGAGACAGGUGCUGCAUGGCUGUCGUCAGCUCGUGUUGUGAAAUGUUGGGUUAAGUCCCGCAACGAGCGCAACCCUUAUCCUUUGUUGCCAGCGGUUAGGCCGGGAACUCAAAGGAGACUGCCAGUGAUAAACUGGAGGAAGGUGGGGAUGACGUCAAGUCAUCAUGGCCCUUACGACCAGGGCUACACACGUGCUACAAUGGCAUAUACAAAGAGAAGCGACCUCGCGAGAGCAAGCGGACCUCAUAAAGUAUGUCGUAGUCCGGAUUGGAGUCUGCAACUCGACUCCAUGAAGUCGGAAUCGCUAGUAAUCGUAGAUCAGAAUGCUACGGUGAAUACGUUCCCGGGCCU
Molecule: ribosomal RNA, 1362 nt
Filed under: uncultured bacterium
Lineage: Bacteria
Description: bacterial SSU rRNA
Rfam family: Bacterial small subunit ribosomal RNA
Source: RNAcentral